This is an RNA transcript of Carlito syrichta (Philippine tarsier), 1025 nucleotides long. It is a transcript of the gene named ferritin heavy chain pseudogene, with no coding region annotated. The transcript is spliced from 3 exons. NCBI's taxonomy places the organism in Eukaryota, Metazoa, Chordata, Mammalia, Primates, Tarsiidae. The record is from RefSeq and is a predicted model, not a curated record.
AUGCUGGGAAGUCGUGAGAGGGUGGACAGCAAUUCCUUCAGAAGCUUCGAGCAAUUUGUAGCCAAAAGAGUAUUUCUGUUGUAUUCAGAUAUAAGCCCUGUAUUCAACAUAAACAAGUCAUUGAAUAAACUGGCAGUCAUGUUCACGGGGACUGAGACGUCCUGCGCCGAGAGUCGCCGCGGCUUCCUGCUUCAACAGUGCUUGGACGGAACCCGGCGCUCGUCUGUCGCCCCGGCUGACCGCUCCGAGCCAGCCCUCCACCUCCGCCACCGCCUCGCCGCGUCCCUGCCCGUCCUCAGCCGCCGCCAUGACGACCGCGUCCACCUCGCAGGUGCGCCAGAACUACCACCAGGACUCGGAGGCCGCCAUCAACCGCCAGAUCAACCUGGAGCUCUACGCCUCCUACUUCUACCUGUCCGUGUCAUACUACUUUGACCGCGAUGAUGUGGCUUUGAAGAACUUUGCCAAAUACUUCUUCACCAAUCUCAUGAGGAGAGGGAGCAUGCUGGGAAACUGAUGAAGCUGCAAAACCAACGCGGUGGCCGCAUCUUCCUUCAGGACAUCAAGAAACCAGACUGUGAUGGCUGGGAGAACGGGCUGAAUGCCAUGGAGUGUGCAUCACGCUUGGGAAAAAACGUGAACCAGUCACGACUGGAACUGCACAAACUGGCUACUGACAAAAACGACCCCCACUCGUGUGACUUCAUUGAGACACAUUACCUGAAUGAGCAGGUGAAAUCCAUCAAAGAAUUGGGUGACUACGUACCCAACUUGCACAAGACGGGAGCCCCCGAAUCUGGCAUGGCAGAAUAUCUCUUUGACAAGCACACCCUGGGAGAGCGUGAUGACAGCUAAACCUUGGGCUGAUUUCCCCAUAGCUACUGGGUGACUUUCCUGGUCACCAAGGCAGUCCAUGCAUGUUGGGGUUUCCUUUGCCUUUUCUAUAGGUUGCACCAAAAUGUCCACUUCAGUUCUUUGAUUUGUACCAUUCCUUCAAAUAAAGAAAUUUGGUACCCAAAAAAAAA